RNAcentral lists this ribosomal RNA (253 nucleotides) under uncultured prokaryote. Its description in RNAcentral is "partial 16S ribosomal RNA". It matches the Rfam family "Bacterial small subunit ribosomal RNA", at positions 525 to 777 of the family's 1533-position model. The record is from RNAcentral.
ACGAGUGCCUCAAGCGUUAUCCGGAAUCAUUGGGCGUAAAGGGUGUGUAGGCGGCAAUAUUAGUCUCGCGUUAAAUCUACUGGCUCAACCGGUAGGCUGCGUGAGAAACGGUAUUGCUUGAGGGUGGGAGAGGUCUCUGGAACUCAUAGUGUAGCGGUGAAAUGCGUUGAUAUUAUGGGGAACACCAAAAGCGAAGGCAAGAGACUGGCCCGCUCCUGACGCUGAAACACGAAAGCGUGGGUCGCGAAUGGGA